RNAcentral lists this long non-coding RNA (901 nucleotides) under Marmota monax (woodchuck). The record is from RNAcentral. Lineage: Eukaryota; Metazoa; Chordata; Mammalia; Rodentia; Sciuridae.
AGAUUGCUUUCAAUACUCACACUGCAGCCACCACAGAGGUCCUGGAACAUAUUUCUGAGUGGCCCUUUGUGAGUGUUUCUUGGGGCAAUAUACUCAGGAAUGGGGAUGCUGGGUGAGAGGGCAUAUGUACACUUGUAAGUACUGCCAGCUCUUCUUCAGGAUUCCUGCCAGGCAGUCUGCACAGUAGCAGCAGUGAGCUCCAGAACAACAUUCUUAUCUGCUGCUCCAGUUUCUACAUUUUACUUAUGAAAAGAACUGGCCAGUCUGCUGGAGGGAACAUUUUCCAUAAGUGCCCCAGAUAGUGACAUGGUUCCCUCCCUUUCUUCAGAAGGUCUUAUUUCAAACAUCACAACACCACACCAUGCAAAGAGCCACCACUAUGUCCUGUCACUUGCCUUUCUUCCCACCUUGCUGUAUUUUUCUUCAUAAUUUUUACAAUUUGAUAUCUGCAUAUGUCUGUUUUUGAUGGUUGUCUCCUACACACACACAAAAGGUAGCAUUGGGGUGCAUAGUAGAUGAUCAAAACUUGUCGUGAUGAAAUGACCCAGAGCCUACUUAACCAGAUGCCAUCCAAAGGAAGCGUCCCUCCUCAUCCACCUCAUCCUCACUCAGUGUAGGCAAAGAGUAUUGGAGGCACUGAACCUCCCUGAUCUCUCUCUACAAUUUGGCUCACCAUGCACAGGAGGUAAGGACACUAGGACAUUCUAUUAACACAUGCAUCUAUAAUUUCUCUGGGUAGAAUUUGAGUUCCAUCCAUGUUUAAGUUACCGUGGUAUACUAAGUGUUUGUAGAAAGGUUUCCUUGGUCACAGUUUUCUGUUGAGUGGGUGAAUGAAAUCUAUGCCUGGUCUCUACUAUCAUUUAAUGAUCCAAAGACAAAGGAAAAAAUUUGGAAACAAGGC